CAAUAGCGUAUAUUAAAGUUGUUGCAGUUAAAAAGCUCGUAGUUGAAUUUCUGGUGGGCGCGCCGGUCUUCCAAGUGUUGUACUGGGCUCAGUCCGCCAUCCUUGUGGAGAGGGCUCGCAUUGAGUUGCGUGUCGGAUCUGCAUCAUUUACUGUGAAAAAAUUAGAGUGUUUAAAGCAGGCUGUCGCUUGAAUACAUUAGCAUGGAAUAAUAAGAUAGGACUUCGGUCUAUUUUGUUGGUUGCGAACCGAGGUAAUGAUUAAUAGGGAUAGUUGGGGGUAUUCAUAUUUAAUUGUCAGAGGUGAAAUUCUUGGAUUUAUGAAAGAUGAACAACUGCGAAAGCAUUUACCAAGGAUGUUUUCAUUAA
This 366-nucleotide ribosomal RNA is filed under the name uncultured eukaryote. Its description in RNAcentral is "partial 18S ribosomal RNA". It matches the Rfam family "Eukaryotic small subunit ribosomal RNA", at positions 592 to 976 of the family's 1831-position model. The record is from RNAcentral.